GUCUUGGUUGCCGAUGUAGCGCUUGUCGGCGAAGAUGGAUCCUCUUUAGCGUAAUUGCAUACAGCCGUGGUCCAUGCCUGGCGGUUAGUGUAGCCCUGGUUUUCACUACACUGACAGGGGAUAUCGUAUAUUUUGCUCUCUAAAAAUGAACUAUUGUGGUGUUGUUCACGUAUCAAUGUGCCAUGUUUUCUAUCUAAGAAUAUGCCACAUUUGCUAAAUAAACCAGCUCAUUAAAGUGAUGGACAACUAAAUACUUUUUAUAGAGCUAAAAUUAUAUAUAGGCAACCAAACAACCUUCCCUUUCAAAAAAAGCCAAGCAAACAUCUGGGUAACUUCUUGGCGCGGCGGAGCGCCCUUGCCCACUACUACAUAUUGUGAACCGUCAACUCAUACAAUUUUGAAGAAAACAUGAACUGGAUAUAUGAUGCAUUUUCUUCAAAGUAUGGUAUAUUUAGUUGGAAAGAAUGACAUUUUGUCAAGGAAGAAACUGCCUUAAAUCCCUUAUGAUAAGCAUGCGGUUGAUCUGGGUGCAACUCAUAUGCACCAGAAUACUUGGCUAUAGCAUGUUUUGUUAGAUCCAUUCUUAAGAAAAUGCAUUAUUCUUGAAAGGCGGCACGCUCACUGCAGCUUGACCACGUCAUCCCUGCCAAUGCCGAUUAGCUCAGCCUUGGUGGCGGCGGGCUCCUGGACUACCUCAAGCAGGCGCCUGCCGCGGCGGCCGACAUGUGAGGACACUAGCAACCUCGGAUACAAGUACCCGUGGUGGUUUCUCUGUUCUUAGGAGACAUGCUGAAGACUGUCUUCCUCGGACAGUUAGCAUUGCAAGCACUUUUUGACUCCACUUGAUGUCUACAAAAUUUCUGGCUUAUUGAAUGAUAUGGUUACUUGCAAGACAUGUCGCAGAAUCCACAUAGAACCGGGUGGCAUUUUCCUCACAUUUCAUGGUGAUUUUAAUUUGAGCAUUCAGCUUGAAUACCCUUUAAA
Molecule: long non-coding RNA, 984 nt
Organism: Triticum dicoccoides
Lineage: Eukaryota; Viridiplantae; Streptophyta; Magnoliopsida; Poales; Poaceae
Exons: 2
Source: RefSeq, a predicted model, not a curated record